This 404-nucleotide ribosomal RNA is filed under the name uncultured Staphylococcus sp. RNAcentral describes it as "bacterial SSU rRNA". It matches the Rfam family "Bacterial small subunit ribosomal RNA", at positions 355 to 776 of the family's 1533-position model. RNAcentral also lists the same sequence under 2 other names. The record is from RNAcentral. Lineage: Bacteria; Bacillati; Bacillota; Bacilli; Caryophanales; Staphylococcaceae.
UGGGGAAUCUUAGACAAUGGGCGCAAGCCUGAUCUAGCCAUGCCGCGUGAGCGAUGAAGGCCUUAGGGUUGUAAAGCUCUUUCAGUGGGGAAGAUAAUGACUGUACCCACAGAAGAAGCCCCGGCUAACUCCGUGCCAGCAGCCGCGGUAAUACGGAGGGGGCUAGCGUUGUUCGGAAUUACUGGGCGUAAAGCGCACGUAGGCGGACCAGAAAGUAGGGGGUGAAAUCCCGGGGCUCAACCUCGGAACUGCCUUCUAAACUCCUGGUCUUGAGGUCGAGAGAGGUGAGUGGAAUUCCGAGUGUAGAGGUGAAAUUCGUAGAUAUUCGGAGGAACACCAGUGGCGAAGGCGGCUCACUGGCUCGAUACUGACGCUGAGGUGCGAAAGCGUGGGGAGCAAACAGG